Long non-coding RNA from Gadus macrocephalus (Pacific cod), 1082 nucleotides. RefSeq lists it as uncharacterized. The transcript is spliced from 2 exons. The record is from RefSeq and is a predicted model, not a curated record. Lineage: Eukaryota; Metazoa; Chordata; Actinopteri; Gadiformes; Gadidae.
ACAGUCCGGAGAGCACAUGGAAUUAGGAACCUGGAGGAAACCCUAAGGGAAACAUCGGUUUCAGUGAUUCUGUAGGGUGUUUUGCAGGGUUCUCAGCCUACGGUCACCCGAUAUGCAAAGAGAGUGUCCGACGCUGAGAUCGGCCAGGCCACAAUGUCAUAUCCUGUGGGCGGGUCUCCGUUCUCAUCAAAGUACAUGGAUGAGUUGCCCACGCUGAACGUGACCUUCUUAAGCAGUGGCAGGAGCUGAUUGGGAACAGAAAAAGGUUAAUGUACAAAAUGAUUGAUAAACAGGCUGAUGCAUCCUAGCCUAACCCUCGCUGUCACAUGUGGGAGUUUCCAACCAGAUGUAUGAUAGAUAACUACACUGCCGUACCAGCCUACUCAGUGGACACUUACCACUGGUACAAUGGGCUGUUCUGUCAACAUACAUCUUAGGUGGACUCUCCCAAGUGUGAUGUCCCCACACAUUUUUUUUAAAAGGGCUUGCGAUGGAUGGCCUCUUCUUGUAAACCAGGGGCCGGUUAUCCAUUCAUCAUUCGUUGGGUAUUCCGUAAUAGGUUUCCCUUGUACUAGCCAACCAUGCGCUGUUCAUCUCACGUGCUCCAGCUCACCUGCCAGGGGUUAAUGGUCCUCGCUUGGCACCCUCCGACGUCGCACCCUAGCUUUUUGUGAAGCGCAUGAGCCACCGCAUACACCGCCCUGUACACGUUGAAGGAGGACGCAAAGUCGUAGGAGUCCAUCGGGUGAUCACUGGCCGCCAGGACGUACCCGUCGGAGGUCUGAAGGCACUCGCCCAGAGGGCCGAGCGGAAGCCUGGAGAAUUCACUGCGGUCGAUAUGCCUCGACAUCUCCUGCAUUUUCCUCUCGAAACCCCCAAAGCCAGGAAUAAUCUGGAACUUGACCGACAUUCCCAGGAAGGUGCCGAGGGUCCUGAUACCAGGGAUGUCCGCGAUGAGGGCGGAGGCGAUCCAGUCCUCACUGCCCAGCCAGAUUUUCCCCGUCACGUUGCGCUCCACCACCAACGGGAAGAAGCCCUGGAGUCGGGACUUGCUGGAGAACAGGACGAUGGUUUUGACGUUG